Apis florea (little honeybee) is the source of this 2535-nucleotide long non-coding RNA. The record is from RefSeq and is a predicted model, not a curated record. Lineage: Eukaryota; Metazoa; Arthropoda; Insecta; Hymenoptera; Apidae.
AUUUAUCGAAUUGAAUGAACUUGUGGAUCAAAAUAGCGGUAACGUAUCGUUGAAAAUUUGAUCUUGAAUAAAAAUUUUUGAUAAUUAUUCGAUAUUAUGAAUGUAAUUUUACGCCAAGAUCCUAUUAUCUUCUUCCUUCAUACAUAUAAAUGAAUAGAUCAGAUUUCGAAUUCGACACGCAUUGCUGGCAGUACCGUUAACGACAGGUUUAUAUAUUUUUUCUUUUUUUCAGAUCAAGCGGCCUAAUUGACGAGAAUUAUUUAAUUCUCGAUUUUAACUUGUUAUACGAAUAUACGUAUAACAUAUGAACUGUAAUCUAGAGCAAGCUCAAGGAUCAAAGAAUCAUUGUGCCGCUAACAAUAGUUUUCAGUUGGUGUCAAUUAACAUUGAAUCCAUUCGCAACGUGCUAAUUAGUGCCACAAUCGGACUUCGUUCCAUCUUUUCACUCUCGUUCGGAACAAUUUUCAAGAGGAACGUAUUUAUUUCGAGAGAGAGAGAGAGAGAGAGAGAAUUUAUCGGGGAGGCAACUCGUCAAACCAAUUGUAUCUCCACGCUUUAUGAUGUUUAAUUAUCGAAAGGAGGAUCGUAUUUCAGGUUCGAGUGGCUGUGAUAAACGAUGACUGGCCACUCGAAUGUACGACGAUAAGUAAUGUCGGCGAGGAAACGUUUGCAUGAUAAAUGCAUGUAGCUACACCAAGCUAUCGAACCACGAAUGCAUAGAGGCGGACUAUGGCGUAUCGUCUUUCCAGAGCGCCUCGACCUAUUUCUCGUCUGGUUUAGAGUGAGAAAGAAAGAGAGAGAAGAAAAAAGAUAAAAGUUUUUAAACCAGUUUGACGCCAAAAGGAACGACGAUGAUGAAUAUUUUUCGACAGAAGUUAUAGUCGUUUCUUUGUCUCCUUCCUUUUUAGAUUAUUUAUUUCUUUAAUAUAAAAUCGAGCAAAGAAAAUAAAGAGGGAGCGAAUAAAUUUGCAAGAGGGUAUUUUGAUUCGCCAAGGAUCAGAAACGAAAUACGUAAACGCGGAGGAAUAAUAUUUAGAUAGACGGGUAAAGUUUGUUCGCAGCGCGGACCGAGCUGGAGAAAAUACCGAGGAAAUACUUGGAUUCGUAAAAUCGCGAGACUAAAUAUUUUAGACCUUAAUUUUCAAGGAAAUCGUAGGCACAGCGAGCAUUCCUCGAUUUCCAACGCGUGUGCUCCCGGCAUAUUCAUCACUUUCGGUAGUCGAGCCAGGUUUGUGUUUGCAAAGCGGCGAGCAAACAAGAGGACGUUUCCUUCGAAGACGUAGAAGCGUGCACAGUGGUCCGUUCCAGGGCACCACGUCACGGUGAAUGGAAACGCCGUGUUACACCUGCUUGGGGCCCCGGCCAGGAGACUGAAAGCGACACCCUGUGGAGGUGAUGGAACACAGCGAAGCUAAGCGAGUGCUCGCCUCACUCACUUCUUCUCGGGCGUUGGAAAACUCGUGGCGCUUUUUAAUUACAUCGCGACGACCACGGUGAAAGUGUUCUUCCCUUUGUCACCAACAAAAUAUUUUUCUGGUCGUCGCGUUCAUUCUGUCUGCAUGAUUCUUCGGAACGGAAUUUUUUGUUUUGGGUAGAAAAAAAUCCUCGAGUUCACUUUAAGAAGAAAAUCGAUUCGAAAUGGAAUCUUUCUCGACCGAUCGUGUUUAUUUUAUAUUAUCUGUUCUUUAAUUAAUCGACGAAGCUUCGAUCAAAAUUUUGAAGCUCAUUCAUCGAUCGAAUUUCAUCGAGAGAAGAAUCGGUCGCUUCGAGAAAAAGGGAGAAGUAGAGUUCGAGACGCGUGUUGCCGUGGGCGAGGAACGAUCGAAACUGGCGUUUCCAAGAGAUUUCGUCGGGGAACGGUGGAUCAAAGGAAGUGGAGAGCUAUUCUUAUUUUUCCAGGCAGGGAGGGAAUACACGAGGAAGCGUGAGCACUACCGGUUAACAACUAAAUUCAAGGCUUCUGACGAGCAAGAGUCCAGAAACGAAAGUUGAGGUGGAGGGAGGCCGGUCUCGUGGAGGCAACGGGAGAAAAAGAAAUGUAGCACUUAAGACGAGGAGAGUCGUCGACGUCUUGACUCUUUUUCAUCGUCAACCCUGUUCUCGUUCUCCCUUCUUACAAUCUGUUCUUCCCUUUCUUUAUUUCUCUUGCGUCGUUUUUCGAGUCGUUAUAGCAGGAGAGUUGAAGUCAAAAACGAAUUAUUUAUUUUUAGGAAAAAUCCACUCGAAUUAUAGAUUUUUUUUAAAAUUCGUGUAUUUGUUUAUUUAUCUCUCUCUCUCUCUCUCUCUUCUUUUUUUUAGCAGUAGAAGUAUCAAGAUCAUCGAGAGUAUUUUUACACCAGUUAAUUGUGAGAGCCAGGCUAUUUUAGCAUGAACAGAUGUUCAACAUAGUAUAUCGAUUUUAUUGAUGUUUAUUUUGUCCCAACGGUAGAAAAAUAUAUAAUCUCGUGAGACGUUAAAUCGAUCUUUAUAGACACUCUUCCAUCCAAAGAUGUUUCGAAACUUCUUAUUAUUAGCUUUAUAAAAUGCAUCAUAAAA